This 428-nucleotide ribosomal RNA is filed under the name uncultured bacterium. Its description in RNAcentral is "bacterial SSU rRNA". It matches the Rfam family "Bacterial small subunit ribosomal RNA", at positions 354 to 796 of the family's 1533-position model. The record is from RNAcentral.
GUCGAGAAUCUUCCGCAAUGCGCGAAAGCGUGACGGAGCGACACCGCGUGAUGGAUGAAGUCCUUCGGGGCGUAAACAUCUUUUAUAAAGGAGGAAAUUUUUGACGUUACUUUAUGAAUAAGGGGCUCCCAAUCUCGUGCCAGCAGGAGCGGUAAUACGAGAGCCUCAAGCGUUAUCCGGAAUCAUUGGGCGUAAAGGGUGCGUAGGUGGUUUGAUUAGUCUCCCGUUAAAACUUCGAGCUUAACUCGAAAAGAGCGGGGGAAACGGUCAAACUAGAGUAUGUGAGAGGUGUGUGGAACUCAUGGUGUAGGGUUGAAAUCCGUUGAUAUCAUGGGGAACACCAAAAGCGAAGGCAGCACACUGGCACAUCACUGACACUGAGGCACGAAACCUAAGGUAGCGAAUGGGAUUAGAUACCCCAGUAGUCC